UGAGGAAUAUUGGGCAAUGCCCGCAAGGGUGACCCAGCAACGCCGCGUGGAGGAUGAAUGUCGUAAGAUUGUAAACUCCUGUUAGAGGGGAAGAAUAGUACCGGUUGGACCGGUAUAUGACUGUACCCUCAGAGAAAGCCCCGGCUAACUACGUGCCAGCAGCCGCGGUAAUACGUAGGGGGCGAGCGUUGUCCGGAUUUACUGGGUGCAAAGGGUGCUCAGGCGGAUUUGUAAGUCAGAGGUGAAAUCUUACAGCUUAACUGUGAAACUGCCUUUGAUACUGCAAGCCUAGAGUAUGGAAUAGAGUGAUGGAAAAUCUGGUGUAGGAGUGAAAUGCGUAGAUAUCAGAUAGAACACCAGUGGCGAAGGCAGUCACUUGGUCCAUUACUGACGCUAAAG
Molecule: ribosomal RNA, 399 nt
Filed under: uncultured bacterium
Lineage: Bacteria
Description: bacterial SSU rRNA
Rfam family: Bacterial small subunit ribosomal RNA
Source: RNAcentral